GGCCGUGACUCGCGCAACGAGCACGUGCGAACCGGGUCAGGCCUUGAUCGGAGCAGCCCUAAGCAAUGCUGCUCGUGUGCCGCGAGCACCACGACCCGG
This 99-nucleotide signal recognition particle RNA is filed under the name Planctomycetota bacterium. Its description in RNAcentral is "signal recognition particle sRNA small type". It matches the Rfam family "Bacterial small signal recognition particle RNA". Rfam says of the family: The signal recognition particle (SRP) is a universally conserved ribonucleoprotein involved in the co-translational targeting of proteins to membranes. Archaeal SRP consists of a 7S RNA and homologues of the eukaryotic SRP19 and SRP54 proteins. Lineage: Bacteria; Pseudomonadati; Planctomycetota. The record is from RNAcentral.